GCUGCGGCUGCGUGGCGGGUUGUCCAGGUAACCACGAGAGUUGUCGCUGUCUGGGAGCAUCUGAGAGACAGGUGUGCGUCAUGCAGUUGAAGCACCUGAGGACCCUGCUGAGCCCUCAGGAUGGAGCUGCAAAGGUGACCUGCAUGGCUUGGUCCCAGAACAAUGCCAAAUUUGCUGUCUGCACAGUGGACCGAGUGGUCUUGCUGUAUGAUGAACAUGGAGAACGGAGAGAUAAAUUCUCCACCAAACCAGCUGACAUGAAGUAUGGCAGGAAGAGCUAUAUGGUGAAGGGCAUGGCUUUUUCUCCUGAUUCCACUAAAAUUGCCAUAGGACAGACUGACAACAUCAUCUAUGUCUACAAGAUUGGAGAAGAUUGGGGUGACAAGAAAGUCAUCUGCAACAAGUUCAUCCAGACGAGUGCUGUCACUUGUCUGCAAUGGCCUGCAGAGUACAUCAUUGUCUUUGGACUGGCUGAAGGGAAGGUUCGUUUAGCAAACACCAAAACUAAUAAAUCAUCUACCAUCUAUGGGACAGAGUCUUACGUGGUGUCCCUGACAACAAAUUGCUCUGGGAAAGGAAUUCUCUCUGGUCAUGCAGAUGGUACCAUCGUUAGGUAUUUCUUUGAUGAUGAAGGCUCUGGAGAGUCACAGCCGUGACCCUCAGGAGCGGGAGUUCACCACAGCUGUAGCAAGUCCUGGGGGCCAGUCUGUUGUGCUAGGAAGUUAUGACAGGCUUCGGGUGUUCAACUGGAUCCCUCAAAGAAGCAUCUGGGAAGAGGCAAAGCCCAAGGAGAUUACCAAUUUAUACACCAUCACUGCCUUGGCCUGGAAGCGGGAUGGCUCACGGCUGUGUGUGGGCACACUAUGUGGUGGGGUGGAACAGUUUGACUGCUGCCUCCGAAGGAGUAUUUACAAGAACAAGUUUGAGUUGACGUAUGUGGGACCUAGCCAGGUGAUUGUGAAGAACCUGUCAUCAGGAACCCGAGUGGUGCUCAAGUCACACUAUGGCUAUGAGGUGGAAGAGGUGAAAAUCCUAGGAAAGGAACGUUACUUGGUGGCCCACACAUCAGAAACACUGCUGCUGGGGGACCUGAACACUAAUCGGCUUAGUGAGAUAGCCUGGCAAGGAUCUGGUGGCAAUGAGAAGUAUUUCUUUGAAAAUGAGAAUGUAUGCAUGAUCUUCAAUGCUGGAGAGCUAACCCUGGUGGAAUAUGGGAAUAAUGACACCCUGGGUUCUGUACGCACUGAAUUCAUGAAUCCCCACCUCAUCAGGUAACCUCACAAGAUUCUCUAAAUCCCUGAAACCCAAAAUAAUUCCUUUUGGACUCCUAAAUUCUGUGUCCUCCAGUUAAUCCAAAAGCUUCAGCCAGGCGUGGUGGCUCAUGCCUAUAAGCCCAGCAGUUUGGGAGGCGGAGGCAAGCAGAUUACUUGAGUCCAGGAGUUCAAGACCAACCUGGGCAACAUGGUGAAACCCCCUGUCUACUAAAAAUACAAAAAAUUAUCCAGGCAUGGUAGCAUACCCCUGUAUUCCCAGUAACUCAGGAAGCUGAGGUGGGAGAAUCACCCGGAGCCUGGGAAGUCAAAGCUGUAGUGAGCCGUGAUCACACCACUGCACUUCAGCUUUGGCAACCAGAGUGAAACCCUGUCUCAAAAUAAAUAAAUAAAUAAAAGCUUCAUCCCAUAUGGUACUUCAGAGCCUUUAAUAAACAUCCCAACUACCUUAGCCCAUUUUGCCUUACCUCACCCUUCAUGUUUCAGUGUUCGUAUUAAUGAGAGGUGUCAGCGAGGAACAGAAGAUAAUAAGAAAUUGGCUUAUCUUAUUGAUAUUAAGACUAUUGCUAUAGUGGAUCUGAUUGGUGGCUAC
This 1863-nucleotide small RNA is filed under the name Pongo abelii (Sumatran orangutan). RNAcentral's name for it is "retained intron". Lineage: Eukaryota; Metazoa; Chordata; Mammalia; Primates; Hominidae. The record is from RNAcentral.